RNAcentral lists this ribosomal RNA (669 nucleotides) under Acanthopharynx parva. RNAcentral describes it as "partial large subunit ribosomal RNA". Lineage: Eukaryota; Metazoa; Nematoda; Chromadorea; Desmodorida; Desmodoridae. The record is from RNAcentral.
UGCUUAGAAGUAAACAGAUGGAACUGAUGGAUAGUCAGCAGGAUUCAGCCGACUACGUUACCUCAGCCUGGUGCCAGAGCGAAUGUCUGGUUGCUGGUGUCUGGUGUGGCCAGUUGGUGCAUUUUCUGUUGAUGUGCRCUGGGACUUGUGUUGGUGCUGGAACUARGGGUUGGAUUGCCGGCUACUUAGGUAGUGUCCCRUCUGACCCUGAAACCAAGUUACYGAUACAGGGAGAAUGCUGUCCGCCUUUACUCAUCAGCAUGGUGAGCUUAUCCAAUUAGAAAUGUUGUUCCUUGCUCGCAAGAAUUUGCGGUGCUUGGGUGAGUGAGCUGUGUUGCAUGAGUUGGUGGCUUUCCGGUGUUUAUGUCAGUCACCCAUCUGACCCGUCUUGAAACACGGACCAAGGAGUCUAACAUGUGCGCGAGUCACUGGGUUGCAACACCCAAAGGCGGAAUGAAAGUGAAGUCUAGUUCGGCUAGAUGACAUGGGAGCCCUUUACUUAGGGGAGGGGUGCACCAUGGUCCCGUCCAUUUUGCAUUGUCAAURGGGCGGAGAUAGAGCGUACACGUUGGGACCCGAAAGAUGGUGAACUAUGCCUGAGCAGGAUGAAGCCAGAGGAAACUCUGGUGGAGGUCCAUAGCGAUUCUGACGUGCAAAUCGAUCGUCGGA